Molecule: long non-coding RNA, 244 nt
Organism: Octopus sinensis (East Asian common octopus)
Lineage: Eukaryota; Metazoa; Mollusca; Cephalopoda; Octopoda; Octopodidae
Exons: 3
Source: RefSeq, a predicted model, not a curated record
GUAAAAUCUAUAUUACAGCAAAGAACAACAUAGAAAAUAUGAGGCUCGGAUUGGAAUGGAACAAACCUGAUGUUCUAAAACGUCUAAUAUUUAAAGGAGAAGCUCACUGGGAAGAUGUAAAGAAAUGGAUUCAGGAAAACAUAAAAUUGAGAAACCUUAGAGACGAAGAGGCAUCAAAUCCCUGUGAUGCAUUUGGUGAGGUAAAGUUUGUAGAACAUGAUCAGAAAAUUGCAAAGGUAAUGUU